RNAcentral lists this long non-coding RNA (13919 nucleotides) under Cucumis sativus (cucumber). Its description in RNAcentral is "long non-coding RNA (CSAT_LNC001237)". Lineage: Eukaryota; Viridiplantae; Streptophyta; Magnoliopsida; Cucurbitales; Cucurbitaceae. The record is from RNAcentral.
CUUUUUGUUUAUCCAUAUAAAAGUAAUGAGACAAAUAUUGGAACCUAUGAGACAAUUAUUGGAACCGAUGAGACAAAUAUUGACAUUUGGGAAAUGGAGAAGGAUGAAUUUGGCGUUGUUUCGUGGUCGAAGCUAUUGACGAUUGACCCUCCUUUUGGAGUUGAGCAUCCAUUGUUGUUUGUAAGCUGUGAAGAACUGUUAAUGGAGUCUAGUGAAGGGCAUGUGAUUAUGUAUAACACGGCAACUCAACUAUUCAAAAAGCUUCCAAUAGAAGGGGAUGUAACUUAUGCAAAACCUCACAGAUUUGAAGCUCAUGAUCUUUUUAUUGAGAGUUUGUUAUUAGUGGAAGAGAGAAGAGAUAUGAUCAAUUAUGAUUUUUAGUAUUUUCGGGUUUUACUAUUGUAAGUCAUAUUGUUUGAUAUAUGUUUGAGUGAUAUGAGUUUUAGUAUUUUGUCAAACUAGUUUAAUUAAUGUUUAGAUGAAGCAAAUGAGGUUUGUUACUUUUGGGGUGGAAUGAUUAUUUUUAACAUAUAGAUUUAAGAAAUACAAAACCUAUCUAUAAAACAAUCUUUUCUUUUUAAAAUUUUUGUUGAAAUAUUAACAAAUUAAGUCAACAAAAUUAACAAAUGAAUAAUGAUUGAUCCUAACCACAAUAAUUUAAAUAGAAUUAGCAUAAUGAAUUUGAAUGCAUACUAAUAAUUAGUUUUUUCUUUAAAAAAAUAUAUACAAUAGAAUUAUUAUUUUUAUUGUUGGCUAAUGAAUAUCGGUUUGCUUAUUUCGUUCGUGGUAGCAUUGUUAAGAAACCCUUAAUUAUAUCAUAAAGUAUAAAUCAAUUUCAUUAUUAUGAUAUAUUAAUAAUAGUCUAUAUUGAAUACUCAUAUAUAUUAUUGUUAAUAUUGAAAUGUAUUUAGUGUUACAAAUUAGAUAAUUCCGUACUAAAAUCCUUGGAAACAAAACUUUUCAAGGAAAAGAAAUAAAAUAUGAAUAUAAAUUGGGAAUUCUUAUACACUAUGUAGUUACUAAUAAAUAAUGUCACUUUUGCAUUAAUUUUUUCAUUUGCACUUUGGAGAAAAAUCACAAAAAAAAAAAAAAAAGAAAGAACAUCUUAAAUUUUAUUAUUUGUGAGUUGCUUUUUUUUUUUUUAAAUUUAAUUUAGAAAGUUCGGUCAUCAACUUUCAAAUACCACACAUGGUGAUGGUGAUCGCUGUAGGCCUAUCUCUAACGCUCAUUUUCAACAACUUCAUCGAUGACCACCUUGACCAACCUUCGAUUGCCACUUACCGACCUUAAAAAUAUUGAUUUAAACAUUUUUAGUAAAUAAAAAACCAAACUUUUACUUUUAAAAAUAGUUAUUAAACACAUUUGUGUUUCUAUUUGAAGAAGUAUCUAUCAGAAGUGUUUAGAUAGAAAAAUUAAUUUUGAAAAAAAACGUUUUUUUCCGAGGAAUUCAAAUUACGCACUUUGUUUAUUCAUGAUAAUAAAAUCCUUUUCUCAUUCUUCUAAUUUCUUUUUCUUUUGAGGUCGUUUUAUUAUUACUAUUAAAUUCUCUUUUUCUCUUUCCAUUGCAAUUUUAAUUACUAUGUAGGAAGAGAAUUGCUAUUUAUUGAAUCUUAUUGUUAUAUGCGGUAGGAUAAAUUUAUUAAAAGAAGAAAAAUUGAAAUUAGCCAAUUAUUGAGGUUCCUAUUAUUAUAAUGUUGUUUUAGUUUUGCAGUUCCUAAAAUGCUUAUUUUUUUUCCUUAAUCACUCUUUUAGAAUGCAUUAUAGUAGUUAUUGAGUCCAAAUGUACUGAACUUUCUCGAUGCCCACAUCAGAAAAAUGGAAGAACAGUGUGAGAUUUUUCUUUCUAUGGGAAUUUGGAGAAAUGCCAAAGGAUGGGAGUUGCCCUUAGCAUAUGAACUGACAAACAAACAUCUCCUCUGCCCUUACAGAAGAAGACACACAAAACUUUCAACAAACCAAAUAUUAUCCUUUAGAAAUUCAAAAGUUAUAGUUUUAAAAUUUGGCUUCAUUCUUUAAAACAUUAAUACAAAAUAGAUAAUUGGUUAUUUUGUAUAUAAUAAAUUAGUUUAGUUAAUUACAUUUAAUAAUUUGUGAACAAAGAUUUAGGAUAGUUUGAACAUAAAAUAAAUGGAGGUUAGGUUGUGUGUUUGGACAGUUUUCUUUUGUUUCUUAUGGUUGGGUGCAAGUGCAAUCCAUUAAUUCCUCAAAAAAUCCCUGCACCAAUUUUUCUGUCAAAUGUUUCAUCCUUUUAGAGUUUCUGAUUUGCAAAUUUUAUUUGUUUAUUCAAUGUUCUAUUUUAGUUUAGCAAAUAUGGGGAUGGAGGGGUUAAUCGAAAGAACUUCAGAAACGGCAAUAUAGCGUGUCUUUAUCUUUCUAAAAUGCUUAUAUUAUCUUGCAAAUUAUAAUUUGACACGUAAUUGAUAUGGUUGGUGAAAUGUAAAAAAUGUCAUACCACUGUUUAGGAACGAUGGAGAUGUUACUUUGGAAUGGGAAAGUGAGAUCUAAAAAUGACAAAUUUUGCCAACUUCUUGUGUAAACAAUACAAUUCUAAUUCUAAAAAGAUUAUUAAUACAUAUUUUAACCAAACUAAGAAGAGAUUAUUGUAAGAUAUUAUUCAAUUUAGAUUCUACAGUAAUGGUAUAAAAAAACAGUGAAAAGUGUACUAUUUUGGUUUACAAGUAAAAGACAAUGUGCACAAAUAGUCACACUCACAACAGCCUCCAUGCUUUGCCUUAAAGCAUAAUUAGUAAUAGAGAUGGAGAAAGAUGCGUAAUGAUACUCAAAACUUACCUUAAAUAUCAAUCCUUGAAAAGAUUCCAUUUUUUUUAAACUUCUCUUUAUAAAAUAUACAUCUUUAUAUGUUUUGCUCAUCAACUCUUUGAUUUCAAAAACCCUUUUCCUUUAAGAAAUUGAAAUUGACAUUGACAUCAUUAUCAGAAACCAAAACAAUAAUGCAUGGCCAAAGUCUUUAGGUUUCUUACCUGCCAAGCCAAUCCCCCACUGAACUCCCAUUUUCCCCCAAGUUCAAAUAUAUAACAAAACUUGUAGCUCAUGAGGAUCAAAACGAACUUCUUUUGGUUCUAUACUCUUCUCAUUGUAGCUCUUUUCAUCACCAUUGUCCUGCGUUCAUUCCCGCUUCCCUUGACGGCUAUUAUUGCCACUGUUGGUCCUCACGACACUGCUUUUGAACUUGGCGUUUUCAGUAGUAUAGUGAAAGGGAGUGGUUUGGAUGAGAUUUUAUCUCUUGUGACUCAAUAUCUGUCCAAAACCCAAUACCAAUGGAGAGAUGAGAAAAGUUGUGAUGAGAAGAAAUGGGACUCCAAGUUGAUAUCUUUGUACAAUGUUUCACUCACUUUAACUGUUGAUUUGAAGGGAUGUGCAAAUUUCAGCAGCGUACAAACUGCAGUGGAUGCUGUUCCUGAUUAUGGCUCUUCAAGGACCCUUAUCCUAAUUGACUCUGGAAUCUAUAGGUCAUUAACUUCCAUAACACAUUUAAAUCUUCCAGCUACAUCGAUUCUUGGCAAGCGAGGGCAGUUAAAAUAUUUUGCUUUCAAUAGAAGUUUUUGAUUUUGAUGUGAUUUUAGUCUCUCUUUAACUUCUUCUAAACCAUCUUUUAUUUUCGUCCUAGAAUUUUCUAAGUCCUAUUAUUACCUUUAUCAAGUUUAGUUAAAACGUUAAAUCAAAUUUUUAUAUGGAUGUUCUUCUAGACACCCUAAGGAUCAAUGAACUACUCCUUAAUAUGAACAAAAACGUUACGUCUGUCUCGCACUUAUUGCCUUGGCCUUGGUAUAACGUUAGAGAUGUCUUGUCCAUCGUGAGAUGGUUGUAGCUCUAACUCGAUGGGCAUGACAAUUUUUUUUAAAAAAAAAUUCUCACCCUUUCGCCAAUAAUCGCCCUCGGUGGUGCCAUCCAAUUGGGAUAUUCAAACAUAGUUCUGUCACAAUUUUUGAAAAAACAUUGUGAUUUUUAAACAAGACAUGAAAUGUCCUUGAAGUAUAUGGGUGAGGUUCUUCUUGAAGUGGUACGCUUAAGUAUCGGGGUGGGAGGGAACCCGAGAGGCCGACCGGUAAAAGGGUGAAAAAAAGUGAAAACCGUGAUAGACAUUACCAUCGGGAUCGAACUACGCCUAUUUCACGAUGGGCAAGAUGUCCCUAAUGUGAUAUCAAGUCUAAGAUUGCAAGUGUGCUAUGAUAUAAGUAAAAUGUUGGAUUUCAUAUAUUUUUAAGGAGUGAAUAAUUAAUCUAGGAGUAGAACCUUUGAGAGAUGGCCAUCUUACAAAAACCUCGUAAUUAAAGGGUAUGAGGUUCAUAAACUCGCUAUUUUUUUCUUUUUUCUUUUUGUUGAGUUAAAAGAAAAAUUGUUGGCAGGGAGAAGGUAGUGAUAGAAGCCAACAAAACAAACUUGAUAAUUGAAGGUCAAGGUUACCUCAACACUGCAAUAGAAUGGAAUGACACAGCCAAUUCCACAGGAGGCACCACUUACAGCUCUUCAGUCACCAUCUUUGCUUCAAACUUCAUUGCCUACAACAUCAGCUUCAAAGUAACAAAAAAACAUCUUCCCUUUUCUUGUUCAACUCUCUUUUUGUAAGCCUCUUCAAUCGUUUUUAAAAAGCGUUUUUACGCACUUAGAAGGUAAAUCAAAAUGUGUUGUCUUUAUUACUUUUAAUCUUUAAUGACUGACUUUUCUUUUUGGGGGAAAAGAACACAGCUCCUGAGGCAACUCCAGGGACUGUUGGAGGACAAGCAGUUGCAGUUCGAAUUGCAGGAGACGAAGCUGCUUUCUAUGGAUGUGGAUUUUAUGGAGCUCAAGACACACUUUAUGAUGACAAAGGAAGGCAUUACUUCAAAGAAUGUUUCAUUCAAGGAUCCAUUGAUUUCAUCUUCGGCAAUGCUCGAUCGCUCUACGAUGUAUGUAAUCAUCAUUUCUAUAUACAAAAGAAAAAAGGGGAUUAAAAUUAGAAGAUUUGUCUGUUUUGGGUAAAUGGUUCAGGGUUGUAGGAUCAAAUCAAUAGCAAAGGAAGUGUUGGGUGGUGGGGUGAGUGGAGCCAUCACAGCUCAUGGAAGGCAAACAAGAAGUGAGGAAACUGGUUUUGCUUUCAUCAAUUGCACCAUCAGUGGCUCUGGGAAGGUGUGGCUUGGUCGUGCUUGGGGCGCUUGUGCCACCGUCGUAUUCUCUAAAACGUAUAUGACCGAUGUCGUUGCUGUGGACGGAUGGAAUGACUGGAGAGACCCUUCAAGAGACCAGUAAUAUCAGAGUCAUUUCUGAGUGUUCAAAAACAAUUUUUUCUUCUUUUUUUCACUUAAAAACAAAGUGGUGAUGUUUGUUUUUCAUUUUUAUUAUCAGGAGUGUGUUGUUUGGGGAAUAUGAAUGCUUUGGAGAUGGUGCAAAUUAUAGGUUGAGAGUGCCAUAUUCAAAGCAGCUGAAUCAAGUUGAAGCUCAGCAUUACUUGGAUGUUUCGUAUGUUGAUGGAAAUCAAUGGCUCAUCAAUCAACAAAUCAACAGUACUUUGUCAACCAUUUAAUUUCAAAUAAAUCAAUGCUUAUUUGUAACACAUAUAAUACUGCCCUUGUUCUUUGAUUGUUGAGUUCAAGUUAUUAAGUGCUAACUAUUGUUUUGCAAGUAUCUCUGUGCAUCUUCUAAUGGUGGCUCAACAUCAUCUAGUAGCCAAAUAUGGAAGCCCAACUAAGAAACCAAAUAUGAAAACAAAAAACCAAAAAGCCCUUUAGAUAAAUAUAUGGAAGCCCCAACUAAGAAACCAAAUAUGAAAAUGAAAAACCAAAAAGCCCUUUAAAUAAAUAUAUGGAAGCCCAACUAAGAAACCAAAUAUGAAAAUAAAAAACCCUAUAAAGGAUUUGUAAUUUUUUUGAAAUGAAACGUUUUAAUUGAAAAAUAAAAUAAAUAAAUAAAAAGGACCUUCGACCCAAUAUGGCAACCCAACUCAGAAACCAAAUAUGGAAAAUGGAAAAACCCUAAAGACAUAUACCAUCUUCUUCUCCAUUUCCUCCGUCAGGUUCUUGUUUCAAACAACCGUAGAUUGAUCUCCAAUCUCUACCCCAGACUCCAUUAUUUGCAAGCCUCACCAUUCUUCACGGUAAAACUUUACAUUUACACUCUUUUCUUUUCUAUUCUUUUUUAUUUUUGCUCUUUUCUCUUACACUUCAUUUUUCCAUCGCAAACACUUCAAUAAUGGUGGUUUCCGACGUUGUGAUUCAAAUUCUAUCCAAGCUUCCACCACAAUCUCUUCUCCGAUUUAAGUGUGUUUGUAAAUCCUGGUUUGAUCUUAUCAACCAUCCUAAAUUUGUAACAAAACAUUUCUUAGAUUCUUUUCCCCAUAAACACGUCCUCAUCAAACGUGCCCUCACCAAUCACUCUGGCAAACAAGAACUUGUGUUCUCCAUUCUCAAAUUUUCUCUCAAUGGAUCUGUAUCUAUUAUGGACAUCAAUUUGCCAUUCGAACAGAUUGAUCCACUUUUAGAAGUUUGUGGCCAUUCUCACGGCUUAGUUUGUCUUACGAAUGGUGAUGAUGUUUUCCUCAUUAAUCCUAUGACUAGACAGUUUCGUAAACUUCCGCCCUCGAUUCUUAUCGUUCGUGGUGGUUAUUAUGAUGAUCCUGAUUUUUACUCUGCAGUACCAUUUACUACCGGAUUUGGGUAUGGUGCAAAAUCUAGCAAUUUCAAAGUUGUUAGAAUAGUGAGUUGUCGAGGACCAACAGAAUUCACGAUGAGAGUGGAAAUUUAUGAUUUGAACAAAGAUAAAUGGAGAGAAAUUGAAGCCCCUAUGUUUUGUGGCAAUGCAAGAUUUAUACCUUCAUUUCUAAUGUAUCACGAAGGAAUAUUUUAUUGGUGGGGAGAGGGUGAAUCAAGCAGUUCUGAUUUUGAAGGAAACCAUAUUAUAACAUUUGACAUGAAUGAAGAGGUUUUUGAUAAAAUUUCACUACCGGGUGGUUAUGAUGAGAGAAAGCAUAAAACAAGUUUAAGGGUUUUGAAUAGAUCCAUUGUUCUUUUUAUUUAUCCAUAUAAAAGUAAUGAGACAAAUAUUGGAACUGAUGAGACAAAUAUUGACAUUUGGGAGAUGGAGAAGGAUGAAUAUGGUGUUGUUUCGUGGUUGAAGCUAUUGACGAUUGACCCUCCUUUUGAAGUUGAGCACCCAUUAUUGUUUGUAAGUUAUGAAGAAUUGUUAAUGGAGUCAAGUGAAGGUCAUGUGAUUAUGUAUAAUACGAAAACUCAGCUAUUCAAAAAACUUUCAAUAGAAGGAGAUGUAACUUAUGUAAAACCUCACAGAUUCGAAGCUCAUGAUCUUUUCAUCGAGAGUUUGGUAUCUGUGGAAGGGGGAAGAGAUAUGAUCAAUUAUGAUUUUUAGUAUUUUCGGGUUUUACUAUUGUAAGUCAUAUUGUUUGAUGUAUGUUGUUUGAGUGAUAUGAAUUUUAGUAUUUUCCAAACUAUUUUAAUUAAUGUGUAGAUGGAGCAAAUGAGCGUUUGUUGCUUAGCUUUCACACAAUGUAUUGCUUUUGGGGUGGAAUGUUUAUUUUUAAGAAAUUCGAAACUUAUUUAUAAAACCAUCUUUUCUUUUUUCAAUUUUUGUUGAAAUAUUAACAAAUUAAGUCAACAAAAUUAACUUGAAUAGAAUUAGGGUAAUGAAUUUGAAUGCAUAUUAAUAAUUAGUUUUUUCUUUAAAAAUAUAUAUACAAUAUAAUUACUAUUUUGAUGGUUGCUAAUAAUAUCAAUUUGCUUAUUUUGUUAGUGUUGGCAUUUUUAAAAAACCCUUAAUUAUAUUAUAUAACAACCUAUAAACCAUUUUCAUUAUUAUCAUAUAUAAUAAUAGUCUAUAUUUUUAAAUAGUGUAUUACUCAUAUUAGUGUUAAUAUUGAAAUGUAUUUCAUAUUACAAAUGAGAUCAUUCUUUUAAACAAAGCUUUUCAAAUAAGAUAAAUGAAUUAUGAAUAUAAAUUAAAAAUUCUUACACGUCAUGUAGUUAUAAAUCAUUGUUAACUAUACAAUAUUAUAGUUUUCUUUUCAAGAAAAAGAAAUCACUUAUUGUUAAUAUUGAAAUGUAUCUCAACUAUUGUUUUUCUUUUGAAAGAAAAAAAAAUCAAACAUGAACAUAUAAUGAAAAUUUUUAUAUGUCAGUAUUUACAAAUCAUUCUCUGCUGUACAGUCAAUAUAUGACUAUUAAAAAGUAUCAUAUUUUUUCUCUUUUAUAGUAUUGGUUGUUACAACACUUAUUAAUACUAUUACAAAAUUAUUUUUCAUUGUUUACAAACAUUGAGAUAUGAAUACUGUUUAUUGAAUUCUAUUCUUACACAUAUCAUUACUAUUUAUUGAAUCUUAAGGUUAUACGUCAUUAUAUGAUUACUACUUAUUGAAUCUUAUGUUAUACAUCAUAGAAUGAAUUUAUUAAAAAACGAAUAAUUGAUUUGGUCAUAAUAUAAAAUAUCAUAUUGUUUUCUAUUUAGGUUUUAUGGAUGUGAAAUAACGUGUUGUUUUAGUUUUGCACUUUCCAAAAUCUAUAUUUUUUUUCUUAAUCACACUAUUUAAAUGCAUUAUUCAUUAAAUGGAUGUAAUAUUAAUUUUUCAAAUUUAAUAUUUGUUUUACCUUUGACAAUAUUAGAAUCUCUUUUCUAAAAGCACUUCUACCAUUUUUUGUAUAAGUGACACAUUAUAAGUCUAUAUAUACUCUUGUUUCUUCAUUUAUUCUUCAUUCCAUUCACCUUCUUCUAUCUCAUUGUUUUGUUCUCUUCUAUCAAUUCUCAAUGACUCAAUCUAUUUUAAUUAUUUACUUUUUGAGUUUGGUGGUGUUCGUUAAUGGCGGCGUUCCAUUUGAGUUCUUCCAAUUCGUGGAACAGUGGGGGCCGAAUGUAUGUAAUACCGGUGCUCGUGUCUCUCCAUGUCAUACUCCGCCUCAAGCCAAGUUUACUAUUCAUGGCUUGUGGCCAAGUAAUCACAGUAAUGCUCAUCUUCUUUGUCAAUCAAAAACGAUAUAUAGCAAGGUUCCCAUCUUCUUUAAUAUUUGUAUAUGUGUGUUUUUUUCUUCUCCAUCUUUAGCGUUUAACUAAUAUAACGUUGUAACAUGCUUUAAUUUUAGGUUAUAUCACUUGAAGGACAACUGAAUAUAUCUUGGCCAGAUUUAAAAUAUGGAAAUAACGAUAAAUUUUGGGGUCAUGAAUGGGACACUCAUGGGAAAUGUUCAGAUCCUCCUUUUAGCUUAUUUCAAUAUUUCCAAAUUUCUUUGAAUCUCCUACGAAAAUUUGAUCUAUUGACAAUCUUAAAGGCUGCUGGGCUCAACCCUCAAACCUCCCAAAACCUUGCAAUCCAAAACAUCAUGGCCCCUAUUCAAAGGACAACAAAAAAGUAUCCCGGAAUCCGCUGCAACAAAAAUGUUAAAACUGGCAAGUCGCAGUUGAAUGAAAUUGUACUGUGUUUGGAAAAAGAUGGUGCUACCCUCAUCGAUUGUCCUACAUUUGUUAGUAACACUUGUGCAAAAUCAUUUGUAUGGUAGAAAGUUGGUUUGCCAUGUUCUUAACAACAAACUAUUAUAUACUAAACAAUAAUAAAUAACAUUUUCAUAUUAUUAUCAUGCAAUACCAUGUUGGUAUAAUUAUUAAUCAGACCCUCUCUCUUUCUAGUGUUUACUGAAUGAAUAUUGAUAUAAUUCCUAGAAUAAUUCUGGUAUGGAUAAGAAAUUUGAACCAGAGUUGAUUUCAAAUUCUUAGAAUAACUCUUUCUAUUUGGUUCUACAUAAUCAAAAUAAUGGUUGGAAGUCAAUCAAAGAAAAGAACAUAUAAUUUCAAAUUUCCAACAACACAGAGAAAGAGUACACAGCAUUAUUGAUAAUAUUCAAGUGGCCAUACCUAUAUAUUAUAUUAUAUAUAUAUACAUAUUUAAUAAGCUACCACCAACCGUUGCAUUAUUAGGAUACAAAAUCAAGAGCAAAAAAAUUACCAAAGAGUAAAUAAAUAAAAAGCAUAUAAUAUAACCGUAGCGUUACUGAGUCCAAAAAUACGGAACUUUCUUGAUGCCCACAUCAGGAGAAUGGAAGAACAGUGUGAGAUUUUUCUUUCUAUGAGAAUUUGGAGAAAUGCCAAAGGAUGGGAGUUGCCCUUAGCAUAUGAACUAACAAACAAACAUCUCCUCUGCCCUCAGAGAAGAAGACACACAAAACUUUCAACAAACCAAAUAUUAUCCUUUAGAAAUUCAAAAAUUGUAGUUUUAAAAUUUGGCUUCAUUUUCUAAAACAUUAAUACAAAAUAGAUAAUUGGUUAUUUACUAUAUAAUAAAUUAGUUUAGUUAAUUACAUUUAGUAAUUUGUGAACAAAGAUUUAGGAUAGUUUGAACAUAAAUUAAAUGGAGGUUAGGUUACAGUUUUUCUUGUGUUUGUUAUGGUUGGGUACAAGUGCAAUCCAUUAAUUCCUCCAUAACCCCCUGCACCAAUUUUUCUGUCAAAUGUUUCGUUCUUUUAGAGUUUCUGAUUUGCAAUUUCAUUCGUGUCUGCAGAAUGUGCAUCAUUAUCAAUAAUAGUAGUGGCCAUAUUCAGUUUUAUUAAUGGUAAUAUCUAUUUUUGUGUUCUUCUCUGUCACUCUAUCUCACAGGAGGGAUGUUGGUGGACAAGAGUUUGGAGGCAUGUAUUGUGCCAUAUUAAUUGUCAACUAAGAAUCUUAGCUUAUCGAUGCGACCCAUUACCUGUUACAAAGUCUAAUAACAUACAUCUUUCUUUAUAUUGCACAGCUCAUUUGUUGUAUCCGCUGCAAUCCUUCAAGUUUUUGGGCAAGAUAUUGCAGAGCUGCCAUUGGUUGCGACAAGUAAUGGUAACCAUGGCAAGGUCUGAGCAGUCAAUUUCAUUUCUUUUUUUGUUUUUUGCUUUUGCCUGUGACAAUUACCUUAUACUGCGUUCUUUGAUUUUUCCCUACACCAUGGCUUAUUACGAGUUUGUAAAGCAAUUUGGAAUGCUUUUGAAUUCUUCUUCGACUUUCUAAUCAAGAGUUUGCAAUCUGUUGGCCAUUCUGAUUUGACUCUUUUCUACAUGUAACGAUGAUAGGGCUACUUCCAAACAUUGUUUUCGUGCAUUGAGAGGCUGCUAGCUUUCUUGAAAGUCAAAUGCCUUGUUCUACCAGCUGCUGAAGAAGCGGAGUCCAUUUGGACUGAAAAAUUUGGUUUUGAGAGAAUAAAACCAGACCAGGUACAUACUUCAAGGAUCAUAAGAAUAGCACAUAUUCAUUAUCUGAAACGGUUUGAAUUCCAGCCACGGCUAAAUGAAAUUCUGUGUCGACUCUCUGCAGCUCAGCAGCUAUAGAAGAAGUUGUUGCCAGAUGGUGACAUUCAAAGGGACAUCCAUGCUUCAGAAAACGGUUCCGUCGUGUCGGGUUGUAGGUGCUCCCUUGUGACCAACCAUGGAAGGGUGUGAGGUUCCCUCUAAUCUCCCCCUUCCUCUCUCCAUUCCUCUCUUCCACCAUAUCAUUCUGUAGCUUUGUCUGUGUAUAGCUUACAAAGUUUUUCCUGUUUUUAGGAUAUUCAGUAAGGUGAGAGCAGUGGUAGGGUAGCUAAAUAUCCAUUUUAGUUAAUAUUACAUAUUCAAAUGUAGCUUUCUCGAACCUUCUCAUUUGCCCUUGCCCUUAUAUAGACGGUCUUGGUAGGUGAUGGUUUUAGGCAAAAACCACUAGCCAUUCUAAACACCCUUUUUCCCAUUCAUGCUUGGUAACCCAAUGCGUGCUUGUGAAUAUUCAACUGCCUAAAUAUCCCAUGUGUUUAUUAUAUAGUUCAUUGUGAGAUAGAUUUUAGGGGAUAAUUUUAUUAUUUACAAAUAGAACGACGGUUGCAAAUUUUAUUUGUUUAUUUAAUUUUCUAUUUUAGUUUAGCAAAUGUGGGGAUGAAGGGGUUAAUGGAAAGAACUUCAGAAACGGCAAUAUAGGGUGUCUUUAUCUUUUAAAAUGCUUACAUUAUCUUGCAAAUUCUAACUUGACAGGCAAUUGAUUAGGUUGGUGAAAUGUAAAAAAUGUCGGAAUGAUGGAGAGGUUACUUUGAAAUUUGGAAUGGGAAAGUGAGAUCUAAAAAUGACAAAUUUUACCAAGUUCUUAGGUAAACAAUACAAUUCUAAUUCUAAAAAGAUGAUUAAUACAUGUAUUUUUGAGUUCAAGUUAUUAAGUGGUAACUAUUGUUUUGCAAGUAUCUGGGUGCAUCUUAUAAUGGUGGCUCAACAUCAUCUAGUAGCCGAAUAUGGCAUCCCAACUAAGAAACCAAAUAUGAAAAUGAAAAACCAAAAAGGCCUUUAGAUAAAUACAUGGAAGCCCAACUAAGAAACCAAAUAUGAAAAUGAAAAAACAAAAAACCCUUUAGACAAUAUAUGGAAGCCCAACUAAGAAACCAAAUAUGAAAAUAAAAAACCCUAAAAACGAUUUGGAAAUUUUGUGAUUUUUUGAAAUGAAACGUUUUAAUUGGUCAUUUCCCUUUGUCACCCGAUAUGGCAACCCAACUCAGAAACCAAAUAUGGAAAAAGGAAAAACCCUAAAGACAUCUAUCAUCUUCUCCAUUUCCUCCCUCAGGUUCUUGUUUGAAACAACGGUAGAUUGAUCUCCAAUCUCCACCGCACUCCAUUCUUUGCAAGCCUCACCAUUCUUCACGGUAAAACUUCACAUUUACACUCUAUUCUUUUCUAUUGAUUUUAAUUUUUGCUCUUUUCUCUUACAGUUAGUAUUUUCAUCGUAAACAUAACAAUAAUGGUGGUCUCUGAUGUUGUGAUUCAAAUUCUAUCCAAGCUUCCACCACAAUCUCUUCUCCGAUUCAAGUCUGUUUGCAAAUCCUGGUAUCAUCUUAUCAACCAUCCUAAAUUUGUAAGAAAACAUCUCUUAGAUUCUUUUCCCCAUAAACAUGUCCUCAUCAAACGUGCCCUCACCAACCACUCUGGCAAACAAGAACUUGUGUUCUCCAUCCUCAAAUUCUCUCUCAAUGGAUCUGUGUCUAUUAUGGACAUCAAUUUGACAUUCCAAGAGAUCGAUCCACUUUUAGAACUUUGUGGCCAUUCUCACGGCUUAGUUUGUCUUUCCGAUUGUGACGAAGUGUUUCUUGUUAAUCCUAUGACCAGACAGUUUCAUAAACUUCCGCCAUCGAUUCUUAUCUUUCGUGGUUGCCAUCAUGACGAUCCUGAUCAUUACUCUGCAAUACCAUUUACUAUCGGAUUCGGGUAUGAUGCAAAAUCUAGCGAUUUCAAAGUUGUUAGAAUUGUGAGUUGUCGAGGACAAUCAGAAGCCAGGAUGAGAGUGGAAAUUUAUGAUUUGAGCAGAGAUAAAUGGAGAGAAAUUGGAGCUCCUGAGAUUUGUGGCAGUGCUGCAUGCACAUGUACAUUUGAUAUGUAUCACGAAGGAAUAUUUUAUUGGUGGGGAUACGGUGAACCAAGGAUUUCGGAAAGGGACCAUAUUAUAACAUUUGACAUGAGUGAAGAGAUUUUUGGUAAAGUUUCAUUACCGGAGAGCUAUGAUGACAAAAAGCAUAAAAUAGUAUUAAGGGUUUUGAAUAAAUCCAUAGUUCUUUUUGUUUAUCCAUAUAAAAGUAAUGAGACAAAUAUUGGAAUCUUUGAGACAAUUGUUGGAACCGAUGAGACAAAUAUUGACAUUUGGGAGAUGGAGAAGGAUGAAUUUGGCGUUGUUUCGUGGUCGAAGCUAUUGACGAUUGACCCUCCUUUUGGAGUUGAGCAUCCAUUGUUGUUUGUAAGCUGUGAAGAAAUGUUAAUGGAGUCCAGUGAAGGACAUGUGAUUAUGUAUAAUAAUAAAACUCAGCAGUUCAAAAAGCUUCCAAUAGAAGGAGAUGUAACUUAUGUAAAACCUCACAGAUUUGAAGCUCACGAUCUUUUCAUUAAGAGUUUGGUAUCAGUGGAAGGAGGAAAAGAUAUAAUCAAUUAUGAUUUUUAGUAUUUUCGAGUUUUACUAUUGUAAGU